This is a long non-coding RNA of Amblyraja radiata (thorny skate), 296 nucleotides long. RefSeq lists it as uncharacterized. NCBI's taxonomy places the organism in Eukaryota, Metazoa, Chordata, Chondrichthyes, Rajiformes, Rajidae. The record is from RefSeq and is a predicted model, not a curated record. The transcript is spliced from 3 exons.
UCGGGCGAAGGCUGGUGAGCACGGACUCGGUGGGGCCGAAGGGCCUGUUUCCGCGCUGUUAUCUCUGAAGUAAGAAGGGAAUAGUUGAAGCAGGGAGCGGAGGGCGAGAGUUUGGGGCCUGGUUCAAGAUGGCCGACAUUUGGGGCCUGUUUUCAAGAUGGCCGACAUUUGGGGCCUGUUCCAAGAUGGCCGACUUUUGCCUCCUGUUUCCGCGCUGUAUCUCUGAACUGAACCAGUGUGUGUGUGUGUGUACGGGCCGAUCGAUCGCUGGUUGGGCUAGUACGGACUCGGUGGAG